Phyllopteryx taeniolatus (common seadragon) is the source of this 1520-nucleotide long non-coding RNA. RefSeq lists it as uncharacterized. The record is from RefSeq and is a predicted model, not a curated record. Lineage: Eukaryota; Metazoa; Chordata; Actinopteri; Syngnathiformes; Syngnathidae. The transcript is spliced from 4 exons.
ACAUGAAGAUCAUUAAGUCCAAGUACUGUUCCACACUAACUGAUGAACAUUUGGAAGUGUGCUUGAGGCUGGCUGUCAGCAGCUGCUGUCCGGACUAUGCAUCCAUGGCUGAUUCACUUCAGUGCAAGUCAUCGGAGUAAACUCAGGCUACAUGUCCGUUACGUGUCUUCAUAUGGCUGGGCAAGGCGGUUUCCGGAGGACACUUACUGACUCUCACGAACCUGCAGCUGAUCUGUAAUUAUCUGCUCAGUCUAGGAUCUCCCUUGAUCUGCGAGCGUGCGCUUGCUGAUUCCCCCAUCAACGAGUGUUUCCUGUGUCUUCUUGCCUGUGCCUCCCAUCUGCUUGCUGCUGUGCCACUUGCCCAGCCUUGCUCCGCGUGCCUCCACGAGCCUCUCACCCCCUACGGAUCCACUGGACUAAUCCUCUACCUCGUUGACUGCUUCCAAGCUUCCCCAGGAACUCACCGACUCGCUGCCAGCCUUGCAAGGUCUCGGACCCUGGUCACUUGUUUCCCCUUUUGUUCAUUAAAACACCAAUUUUACUCCUUACCAACGGUCUCCUCUUCACUCUUGGGUCCUCAUCUGUAGCUAUGCUUUCAUAUUGACUUCUAUAUUGUAGCACUUAAGAGAUUUUUUUAUUUGAUGUAAAGUGCAUUUAUAAAUACAUUACUAUUAAAAUGAUCUAGAAUCUCCAUUGUCAGCCUAAGCAGUUGCUGUCGACCAUUUACUACAAUCCAUCAUUUAAGAAUUUGAGUGUAAUAAAGUAUUUGUAAGUGAUAACUAUGUUGGACAAUCAAGCUUUUGUAUUAUCAACAUACAGAUGGUGUGAAGUGUCAAGAGUAUGUGGCAGGUAAGCGUACUUCUGCAAAAUUCUAUUCCACCGCUAUAAAGAUAACAUACAGCCAGGCACUAAUCACUGCUGUUAAUAGUACGUUGGUUAAAAAACUUUAAUUAUCAGACAUUAGGGAGACAAAACACCAACGCCAACAACGAGCGGUAACAAGUCAAUGCCUGUCUGCAUCUGCACUUUGCACUUUCGUACCUGUAUGUCGUGUUCACAUUCCAAAGAUAAUAUGACCGGGAUGUCUUGUUUCUGAUGCACACAGAUGAACUAUGGCUGCCUUUCAGUACCAUUCAAUAUCUUCUUGUUUGAUUUUCUAGUCUCAGACAUCACACUUAAAACACAUUUGCCCCCUCUUAACUACUAGUCAAUAUUCUUUAGCUGUAUGUGGCAUCUGAGCGGCAGUAAUAACAGUUGUAUGCAUGUAUAUUGAAGCACAUGUACAUAUUGGCUCUUGGAGCACUGUGUCAACACAGGAAAUUACUAAGGAUAAUCAAUCAACAUUUUCCUGUUUCUGCUGGUAAUAUGAUUCACCCUUGAAUAAGCAGACACCCACAAGCUAUGUUACAACAAGUCCAUUCUCUGUCUUUAGAUGGACAUCAAAGCAGUGGUUGAAAACGUUUUCUCACUUUUUGCAUUCAGUGUACAUUGUCCCUCCCUUAUUGAGUCUACACUAAUGA